RNAcentral lists this transfer RNA (65 nucleotides) under marine eukaryotic metagenome. It matches the Rfam family "tRNA", at positions 6 to 65 of the family's 71-position model. From Rfam's summary of the family: Transfer RNA (tRNA) molecules are approximately 80 nucleotides in length. Their secondary structure includes four short double-helical elements and three loops (D, anti-codon, and T loops). The record is from RNAcentral.
AGUAGCUCAAUUUGGUAGAGCAGCGGUCUCCAAAACCGCAGGUUGGGGGUUCGAUUCCCUCCUGG